UUUUAACAAUAUGAGUUUGAUCCUGGCUCAGGAUGAACGCUAGUGAGAUGUCUUACACAUGCAAGUUAAACAAAAUUUAAAUUAAAAAAUUAAGUAACGAACGGGUGCGUAACACGUAAGAUCUUGCUUUUAGAAGGGGAAUAGCAAAUGGAAACGUUUAUUAAUACUUUAUAUACAUUAUAUUUUAUGUGAAAAGAAGCCUUUAUAUCUUCGUCUAGAAAAAGGCUUGCGGCUAAUUAGCUUGUUGUUAAGAUAAUUGCUUAUCAAGGCGAUAAUUAGUAUCUGGUUUGGGAGAAUGGUCAGACACAUUGAAACUGAGACACGGUUCAGACUCUUACGGGAGGCAGCAGUGAGGAAUCUUUCGCAAUGGGUAUACGCCUGACGGAGUAAUCUCGCGUGAAGGAUAUGAAAAUCUACGGAUUGUAAACUUCUUUUUUCAAGGAGGAAUUUUGACAUUUAAUUGAAGAAUAAGCAUCGGCUAAUUCCGUGCCAGCAGCCGCGGUAAUACGGGAGAUGUAAGUGUUAUCCGAAAUGAUUGGGCGUAAAGCGUUUGUAGGUUGUUUAAUAAGUCAAUUGUUAAAUAUUGAAGCUUAACUUCAAAGCCGCGAUUGAAACUAAUAAGCUAAGAGUAUGGUAAGGGUAAAGGGAAUUUUUAGAGAAGCGGUAAAAUGUGUAGAUAUUAGAAGGAAGAUCGGUGGCGAAGGCGUUUUACUGGGCUUUUAUACUGACAUUUAGAAACGAAAGCUAUGGUAGCAAAUGGGAUUAGAUACCCCAGUAGUCUUAGCUGUAAACGAUGGGUACUAUUUGCUGAAUAUUAUAUUAUAUGCAGUAUUGUAGCUAACGCAUUAAGUAUCCCGCCUGGGAAAUAUGCUCGCAAGAGUAAAACUCAAAGGAAUUGACGGGGGUCCACGCAAGCGGUGGAGCAUGUGGUUUAAUUCGAUGCAACACGAUGAACCUUACCAGAAUUUGACAUGAUAUGAAUUUUUUUGAAAGAAAAAAGUGCCUUUUGGAACAUAUACACAGGUGGUGCAUGGCUGUCGUCAGUUCGUGUCGUGAGAUGUCGGGUUAAGUCCUGUAACGAACGCAACCCUUGUUUUUAGUUGCCUAUUAAAGGAAAUCUAAAAAGACUGCUUAUUAUAAGUUUGAGGAAGGAGAGGAUGACGUCAAGUCAUCAUGCCCCUUAUAUUCUGGGCUACACACGUGCUACAAUGGGUAAGACAAUAAGAUGCAAUUUUGUGAGAAAAAGCUAAUCUCUAAACUUACUCUAAGUUCGGAUUGUAGACUGCAACUCGUCUACAUAAAGUUGGAAUCGCUAGUAAUCGCUAGUCAGCUAUACAGCGGUGAAUUCGUUUUUGGACCUUGUACACACCGCCCGUCACACCAUGGGAAUGUGUUUUAUUUGAAAUCUUUUUUAUUAAUAAUUUUAUAAUUUUUUAUCAUUCAUAAAAAUGCUUAGAAUAUAAUUUGUAACUGGGGUGAAGUCGUAACAAGGUAACUGUACUGGAAGGUGUGGUUGGAACCACUCUUUU
Molecule: ribosomal RNA, 1529 nt
Filed under: Nitzschia leucosigma
Lineage: Eukaryota; Bacillariophyta; Bacillariophyceae; Bacillariales; Bacillariaceae
Description: bacterial SSU rRNA
Rfam family: Bacterial small subunit ribosomal RNA
Source: RNAcentral